UGCUUUAACCUCAGCAUAAGAGGACAUGGGGAAUGUGUAGAAUAUGUAAAGAGUUUCAACAUACCCCUCCUGGUGUUAGGAGGAGGUGGCUACACAGUUCGCAAUGUGGCCCGGUGCUGGACUUAUGAAACAUCAUUACUUGUAGAUGAAGCAAUUAGUGAGGAGCUUCCAUAUAGUGGUAAGUUGAGGACCUACAUGUUAAAACAUCACUGAUGUCACUUGUAGCAUAUUUAGUUUCCCCAAGUUAUUAGUAUCAAGAUAACUUAGGGGGAUAGUUCAAAAGCAAUGACAAGGCUUCAUGGAGUAGCCGUUGCCACCAGUAGAACCUUGUUGCAUGUGCUGGCCAGGGCAGGUGUGGUGUGUGGAGAAAAAUGUCAGCUCUCACUAUAUCGGUGUCCAGGCCCUGGUUGGGCCCAUUGUCAUCA
Non-coding RNA from Podarcis muralis (Common wall lizard), 425 nucleotides. The record is from RefSeq and is a predicted model, not a curated record. NCBI's taxonomy places the organism in Eukaryota, Metazoa, Chordata, Lepidosauria, Squamata, Lacertidae.